UACGUAGGGUGCGAGCGUUGUCCGGAAGUAUUGGGCGUAAAGGGCUCGUAGGCGGGCUGUUGCGUCAGGAGUGAAAACUCGGGGCUUAACCCCGAGCCUGCUUCUGAUACGGGCAGACUAGAGGUAUGCAGGGGAGAACGGAAUUCCUGGUGUAGCGGUGAAAUGCGCAGAUAUCAGGAGGAACACCGGUGGCGAAGGCGGUUCUCUGGGCAUUACCUGACGCUGAGGAGCGAAAGGGUGGGGAGCGAACAGG
This 253-nucleotide ribosomal RNA is filed under the name uncultured bacterium. Its description in RNAcentral is "partial 16S ribosomal RNA". It matches the Rfam family "Bacterial small subunit ribosomal RNA", at positions 524 to 776 of the family's 1533-position model. The record is from RNAcentral.